Molecule: ribosomal RNA, 497 nt
Filed under: uncultured bacterium
Lineage: Bacteria
Description: partial 16S ribosomal RNA
Rfam family: Bacterial small subunit ribosomal RNA
Source: RNAcentral
GACGAACGCUGGCGGCGUGCCUAAUACAUGCAAGUUGAGCGAUGAAGCUUGGUGCUUGCACCAAUUUGAAGAGCAGCGAACGGGUGAGUAACGCGUGGGGAAUCUGCCUUUGAGCGGGGGACAACAUUUGGAAACGAAUGCUAAUACCGCAUAACAACUUUAAACAUAAGUUUUAAGUUUGAAAGAUGCAAUUGCAUCACUCAAAGAUGAUCCCGCGUUGUAUUAGCUAGUUGGUGAGGUAAAGGCUCACCAAGGCGAUGAUACAUAGCCGACUUGAGAGGGUGAUCGGCCACAUUGGGACUGAGACACGGCCCAAACUCCUACGGGAGGCAGCAGUAGGGAAUCUUCGGCAAUGGACGAAAGUCUGACCGAGCAACGCCGCGUGAGUGAAGAAGGUUUUCGGAUCGUAAAACUCGGUUGGUAGAGAAGAACGUUGGUGAGAGUGGAAAGCUCAUCAAGUGACGGUAACUACCCAGAAAGGGACGGCUAACUACGUG